UUAAUUAGCAUGUUGUGCUAAAGGACAGUGUGUUAGAUGCCCAGGAGCACCUUGGCAGUUGAACAACUUCCUUUGUGUUGGUAUACAUGUAACUACGUGUGUAGUGUUAGCUGCUGGCAUGAGAGACCCGAUCUGAGAGUACCAAAACGUUAUCUGCAGUAAAGCAAUCACUACUUUGUUUUGGAGCCGGAGACAGGGGUUACCUGCCAUAUGUCUGCUGUGCUGUGCUACGAUUAACGUUAGUUAUAUGCAGGCAUGGACACAAAAAAGUUGCUUCGCAAAUGUGUAUUGCUCGCUUACUAAAUCUAAUGUGAAAUGAGGGAUUUGCAUGGGUUUGCUCAGAUUAUGAUUUGCCAGAUUUUGCCUUAUCAAAUUGAUUUUUUAAUCAUCAUUUCUGUCUACAUAGCUUUGUUUCAUGUAACAUGAGAAAACAGACACAUAACAUAUUACUUCCUUUUGUGUUUAGCCAAGCACAUCUGGGCGGUGCAUCAUGUCGCCUGCCAGACAGACCAACCAGUGACAUGCACAGUUGGCACACAGCUUUCCAUGAGAACUCUCCAGCCUCACUUCAGAAGCACAGGCACACAGAAAUCAGUGUCCUGUGCUGAUGUUGGAGUUGGCACCUCAACCAUUGCCUUCUCAACUUCUCAACCAUUCUUAUCAUCAACCCCACUAGACUGGAGCCUUCCUGCCCUGUUCAUAAGACACCAACAUAGAUUGUCUAUGAAAAGUGUCUGAUGGAGCUGUUUGAGGUGUGCCCUGUCUGUCAGCGUGUUUCAGACGUGCAGACAAGAAGGAUAGGCACGUUCCUCUCUGUAGAACAGACAUGCCCACAUUGUCAGUUCUUCAGAAAAUGGAACAGCCAGCCAAUUCUGGGAAGCACACCUGCAGGAAACCUCCAGCUUUCAGCUGCAGUAUACACCACAGGUGCAUCUUUCUUCAAACUUGAAAAGAUCUUCCAGGCAGUGCAGCUGAAGAUGUUUCAGUAUGACACUUUUCGCCGUCAUGCACGGACCUACAUAGAGCCUGCCAUCAUACACACGUGGAAGACUGUGCAGGAUGCCAUGAUGGAGCAGCUUAGUCAGUAGGAGAGUGUUAUCCUAGGUGGCGACCUAAGG
Epinephelus fuscoguttatus (brown-marbled grouper) is the source of this 1118-nucleotide long non-coding RNA. RefSeq lists it as uncharacterized. The record is from RefSeq and is a predicted model, not a curated record. The transcript is spliced from 3 exons. NCBI's taxonomy places the organism in Eukaryota, Metazoa, Chordata, Actinopteri, Perciformes, Serranidae.